GAUGAAUGCUGGCGGCGUGCCUAACACAUGCAAGUCGAGCGGCAGCGAGGGGUGCUUGCACCCUGUCGGCGAGCGGCGAUCGGCUGAGUAACGCGUAGGAAUUUGCCCCAAAGUGAGGAAUAACUGCCCGAAAGGGUAGCUAAUGCCGCAUAUGGUCUUCGGAUUAAAGGAUUUAUCCGCUUUGGGAGAAGCCUGCGUUGGAUUAGGUUGUUGGUAGGGUAAUGGCCUACCAAGCCGACGAUCCAUAGCUGGUCUGAGAGGAUGAUCAGCCAGACUGGAACUGAGACACGGUCCAGACUCCUACGGGAGGCAGCAGUGAGGAAUCUUCCACAAUGGGCGAAAGCCUGAUGGAGCAACGCCGCGUGAAGGAUGAAGGCCUUCGGGUUGUAAACUUCUUUUAUGAGUGAAGAAUAUGACGGUAACUCAUGAAUAAGCACCGGCUAACUACGUG
This 451-nucleotide ribosomal RNA is filed under the name uncultured bacterium. Its description in RNAcentral is "partial 16S ribosomal RNA". It matches the Rfam family "Bacterial small subunit ribosomal RNA", at positions 28 to 507 of the family's 1533-position model. The record is from RNAcentral.